UACGGAGGGCGCAAGCGUUGUUCGGAAUCACUGGGCGUAAAGCGCGCGUAGGCGGCUUGGCAAGUCGGGUGUGAAAUCCCUAGGCUCAACCUCGGAACUGCAUUCGAAACUGCAUCGCUGGAGUCCGGGAGAGGGUGGCGGACUUGCCGGUGUAGGGGUGAAAUACGUAGAUAUCGGAAGGAACAUCAGUGGCGAAGGCGGCUUCCUGGUCCAGCACUGACGCUCAGGCACGAAAGCGUGGGGAGCAAACAGG
Molecule: ribosomal RNA, 253 nt
Filed under: uncultured bacterium
Lineage: Bacteria
Description: partial 16S ribosomal RNA
Rfam family: Bacterial small subunit ribosomal RNA
Source: RNAcentral